UACAGAGGUCCCAAGCGUUGUUCGGAUUUACUGGGCGUAAAGGGUGCGUAGGCGGCAAGGAAAGUUCGGGGUGAAAUCUCCAGGCUCAACUUGGAAACUGCCCUGAAUACUUCCAUGCUAGAGGGUCGCAGAGGAGAUUGGAAUUCUCGGUGUAGCAGUGAAAUGCGUAGAUAUCGAGAGGAACAUCAGUGGCGAAAGCGAAUCUCUGGGCGGCAUCUGACGCUGAGGCACGAAAGCCAGGGGAGCAAACGGG
This 253-nucleotide ribosomal RNA is filed under the name uncultured bacterium. RNAcentral describes it as "partial 16S ribosomal RNA". It matches the Rfam family "Bacterial small subunit ribosomal RNA", at positions 524 to 776 of the family's 1533-position model. The record is from RNAcentral.